This 368-nucleotide ribosomal RNA is filed under the name uncultured organism. RNAcentral's name for it is "bacterial LSU rRNA". It matches the Rfam family "Bacterial large subunit ribosomal RNA", at positions 2099 to 2465 of the family's 2925-position model. The record is from RNAcentral.
CUUUACUGUAGCCUGGUAUUGGGUUCGGGCUUUGGCUGCGCAGGAUAGGUGGGAGACUGAGAAGUGUGCCUUGUGGGGCACAUAGAGUCAACGGUGAGAUACCACUCUGUCAGAGCUAGAAUUCUAACCUUCACCCGUGAUCCGGGGAAGGAACCGUAUCAGGUGGGCAGUUUGACUGGGGCGGUCGCCUCCUAAAAGGUAACGGAGGCGCGCAAAGGUGUUCUCAGGCUGGUUGGAAAUCAGCCGUAGAGGGUAAAGGCAGAAGAACGCUUGACUGUGAGAGUGACAACUCAAGCAGGGUGGAAACACGGCCUUAGUGAUCCGACGGUAUGCGCGUGGAAGUGCCGUCGCUCAACGGAUAGAAGUUA